AAUUUAUAAGUGACAUUCUAUAUUCUAUAUUGAUUGUGAGCUUGUUUGAGCUCAGUUCCUUCUAGAAUCUGAGAAGGAAGAAGAAAGGAGGAAGAAGCUAGAGAGAAGGAAGAGAAAGAUUAGAAUAGAGAGAGAAAGAGAGUUCACAUUUUUGGGGCAGUGUUUUACAAAAUGCCCUAACUUUAUGUUUACAUAGUUGCAUAUCCCUACAUAUACCAAAUUAGUUGUCUAACUGACUAACUAAUUUGGUUAGUUAUUUCUAACCAUAUAGUAGGUAAAAUGACCACACUACCCUUGAUUCUAACUAAUACUUCUAACUUCUUUUUUCAUCUCAACACUCCCCUUCAAGCUAGGAGGUGCAAAAAUGUUUAAAACUCCUAGCUUGGAUAAAAGGUACUCAUGUUGAGCUCUGGGCAGUCCCUUUGUCAACAGAUCAGCUGGUUGUUCUUGGGUUGACAGGUAGUCGAUUUUGAUCAUGCCUUGCUGCAACCUCUCUCUAAUGAAGUGGCAAUCUAUUUCGAUAUGUUUUGUUCUUUCGUGAUGCACAGGAUUGGCAGCAAUUUGAAUAGCUGCUUUGCUGUCACUAUAUAUCUGCACUGGUACCUUCAUUUCAGCAUCAACUUCUUUCAACAUUCCCAGCAGCCACACAAGUUCUGAAAUAGUAGAGGCCAUACUUCUAUAUUCAGCUUCAGCUGAACUUCUGGACACUGUGGUUUGUUUCUUGGCUUUCCAUGAAAUAAGAGAUUUUCCCAUCUUGAUCAAGUAGCCUGUGACUGAUUUCCUGGUUGCCUUUUCAGAUACUUAACUACUCUUAGAGCUGCAUCCAUGUGGGACUUCUUUGGCUGAUUUAGGAACUGACUUAAUGUUUGGGUGCUGAAGGCUAUAUCUGGCCUUGUCAUGUUGAGGUGUUCCUGCUGGCUUGGCUGCAGUCAUCCCUACUUCUGCUAUCAGAUCAAGUGUAUACUUCCUCUGAUGCAUAAGUAUUCCUGCUUUGGAUCUUGAAAAUUCAAUCCCCAAGAAGUAUUUGAGCUCCCCUAAGUCCUUCAUCUUGAAUGCACUUUGUAGAGCUUUCUUUGUCUCUUCUAUCAACUUUAGGCUGCUACCUGUGACCAACAUGUCAUCUACAUACACAAGCACAAUUACAAUACCUUCUGCUGACUUGUUGAUGAACAAGGAGUAAUCAUAUUGGCUUUGUUUGAACUUGAGGGAUGUAAGAGCUUCAGAAUGCAUUGAAGACAUCUAAUUGAUGAAUGGGCCAAUUUUUGGAUGCUGCAGUGGAAAGAAUGGCCCUGACAGUCACCAUCUUCACAACAGGGGAAAAGAUCCAUCUGCAACCAAUGGGCUUCUUCCCUGCAGCUUCAGCAUAGCUGGAAGGUUCUAUCACAGAGGAAGCAGCUGCAAUAAAGUGUUGAUGAGAAGGUGAGAGGUGAGAGUAGCUUACAUAGUUGGACAGAGGAUAUUGGACAUCCUGAUUAACAUUCAAGGAGACAAAAUCCUUCAUCCAUGUGGGAGGAUGUUUAGACCUGGCAGAUCUUCUAGUGAGAGGAGGAUCAGACAUAUCAGCCUCAAUCACAUCAGUAUGUGGUUGUAUAGGCACAUAGCUUUGCUUAUCACCACCUGGAUGCACACAUGAAGCCUCUUCUGAUAAUACAGAAGGAGAAGCACCUGAGAUUAUGAAGGGAGACAGAGAAAGCUAUGUAGCUGUCUCACCUAUGUCUUGCAGGUUAUCCACAAACAGCUGCUGAGUUGCACAAUCAUCAGCCUUGGUAAAAGGAAAUAUAUUUUCUCUAAAGGAAACAUCCCUGCUAACAAAGAAUGUGUUAUUAUGCAGGUCAAACAGAA
Solanum dulcamara is the source of this 1842-nucleotide long non-coding RNA. RefSeq lists it as uncharacterized. The transcript has 6 exons. The record is from RefSeq and is a predicted model, not a curated record. Lineage: Eukaryota; Viridiplantae; Streptophyta; Magnoliopsida; Solanales; Solanaceae.